RNAcentral lists this ribosomal RNA (301 nucleotides) under Dinophysis acuminata. RNAcentral describes it as "partial Bacterial large subunit ribosomal RNA". It matches the Rfam family "Bacterial large subunit ribosomal RNA", at positions 111 to 366 of the family's 2925-position model. Lineage: Eukaryota; Dinophyceae; Dinophysales; Dinophysaceae. The record is from RNAcentral.
UGUCCGAAUGGGGAAACCCAGCACGAGUGAUGUCGUGUUACCUGCACCUGAAUAUAUAGGGUGUGUGGAGGGAACGUGGGGAAGUGAAACAUCUCAGUACCCAUAGGAAGAGAAAACAAAAGUGAUUCCGAGAGUAGUGGCGAGCGAAAUCGGAUCAGGCUAAACCCUAUGCGUGUGAUACCCGGCAGGGGUUGCGUAUGGAGGGUUGUGGGGUUUGCAUUGUCGAUUCUGCCGGAUCGGCCGACAGUGAGAAAUUGUGGUGUUAGUCGAAGUGGUCUGGAACGGCCUGUCGUAGAGGGUG